RNAcentral lists this ribosomal RNA (378 nucleotides) under uncultured eukaryote. RNAcentral describes it as "partial 18S ribosomal RNA". It matches the Rfam family "Eukaryotic small subunit ribosomal RNA", at positions 592 to 976 of the family's 1831-position model. The record is from RNAcentral.
CAAUAGCGUAUAUUUAAGUUGUUGCAGUUAAAAAGCUCGUAGUUGGAUUUCGGGUUGGCUUCAGCGGUCUCGCUUUGCGUUUGUACUGCCGCAGCCUUCCUUCUUGCUGGGGACGGUCCUCCGGGCUUCAUUGCUUGGGGUCUGGAAUCAGCGACGUUACUUUGAGUAAAUUAGAGUGUUCAAAGCAAGCCUACGCUCUGAAUAUAAUAGCAUGGGAUAACACGACAGGACUCUGGCCUAUCGUGUUGGUCUGUAGGAUCAGAGUAAUGAUUAAGAGGGACAGUCGGGGGCAUUCGUAUUCCGUUGUCAGAGGUGAAAUUCUUGGAUUUACGGAAGACGAACAUCUGCGAAAGCAUUUGCCAAGGAUGUUUUCAUUGA